Molecule: transfer RNA, 89 nt
Filed under: Methylacidimicrobium cyclopophantes
Lineage: Bacteria; Pseudomonadati; Verrucomicrobiota
Description: tRNA-Ser
Rfam family: tRNA
About the family: Transfer RNA (tRNA) molecules are approximately 80 nucleotides in length.
Source: RNAcentral
GGACAGGUGCCAGAGCGGUUGAUUGGGCACGCCUGGAAAGCGUGUGGUCGUGCAUAGCGGCCCGAGGGUUCGAAUCCCUCCCUGUCCGC